GCUAUGCUUUCAUUGUCGAUGUAUAUACCCCUAGACAACCUUGCUUUAUAUACAAAAUGUAACUAUCCAUUCAACCUUUAAAAGCUUAUUAAUAUUAUAUCUGUGUGGUACACAAAGAGGGGGGUGUGAGUUAGGUAAUCCCACCCUGCAUAUGGAAUAAAGGCAGAGGUAGAGGAUUUGGUCAAAGGGUCUAACGUUUGUAGAGGUAACAACUUCAGCAUUGGUGGAACACA
This is a non-coding RNA of Pelobates cultripes (western spadefoot toad), 233 nucleotides long. NCBI's taxonomy places the organism in Eukaryota, Metazoa, Chordata, Amphibia, Anura, Pelobatidae. The record is from the annotation of a GenBank genome assembly.